Molecule: ribosomal RNA, 484 nt
Filed under: uncultured bacterium
Lineage: Bacteria
Description: partial 16S ribosomal RNA
Rfam family: Bacterial small subunit ribosomal RNA
Source: RNAcentral
GACGAACGCUGGCGGCGUGCUUAACACAUGCAAGUCGAACGAUGAAGCCGGAGCUUGCUCUGGUGAAUUAGUGGCGAACGGGUGAGUAACACGUGAGUAACCUGCCCUUGACUCUGGAAUAACUGCGGGAAACUGUAGCUAAUACCGGAUACGACCCUCGGAGGCAUCUCCUGGGGGUGGAAAGAAUUUCGGUCAAGGAUGGACUCGCGGCCUAUCAGCUAGUUGGUGAGGUAAAGGCUCACCAAGGCGACGACGGGUAGCCGGCCUGAGAGGGUGACCGGCCACACUGGGACUGAGACACGGCCCAGACUCCUACGGGAGGCAGCAGUGGGAAAUAUUGCACGAUGGGCGCAAGCCUGAUGCAGCAACGCCGCGUGAGGGAUGACGGCCUUCGGGUUGUAAACCUCUUUUAGCAGGGAAGAAGCGAAAGUGACGGUACCUGCAGAAAAAGCACCGGCUAACUACGUGCCAGCCGCCGCCGUAA